GGAGGGAUAGCUCAGUCAGUAAAGCAUGAGACUCUUAAUCACAGGGUCAUGGGUUCGAGCCCCGUGUUGGUUGAAAGAUUCCU
Non-coding RNA from Podarcis lilfordi (Lilford's wall lizard), 83 nucleotides. The record is from the annotation of a GenBank genome assembly. NCBI's taxonomy places the organism in Eukaryota, Metazoa, Chordata, Lepidosauria, Squamata, Lacertidae.